Long non-coding RNA from Falco peregrinus (peregrine falcon), 610 nucleotides. RefSeq lists it as uncharacterized. The transcript has 3 exons. The record is from RefSeq and is a predicted model, not a curated record. NCBI's taxonomy places the organism in Eukaryota, Metazoa, Chordata, Aves, Falconiformes, Falconidae.
UUGUAAUCACAACUGCUUGUGUGUGCCAGAAGAGAUUGGAAUAUUUACAGCUUUUCAGUGCAGCCGGACGGAAACAAUUACAAGUGAAUACAAACUUGUAUUUGUUUGUAUUUGAAAAGUCGCAUAUACAAAUAUAUGGAAAAAACACAAAUAAUAUGCACAUUCUGUCUUACAGAUAAACAAGAUGCCAACAGGAGCAAGCAGAAAAUGUGUUUGCAAGUAGAAAGCAUUAUCAAAGAUGCAGAAUAUAAAACUGUAUAGAAGCAGAGGGCAAGGCAAGUGUCUCGAGCAGAAGCCAUGGUAGCAGCUUUUCCGUUCCAGGACUGAUGUUUCAAGUUUGUGAGGCUGACCACAUGGUUUCAUUCACCGAAACAGCCGAUUGCGAAAUUAGACAAAUACUUUGACUUUGCCCCUGGCUUUGGUGGUUGCUGUACCUCUGAAGACUCCAUUCACCUCGAAUUACACGUCCCUCGAAAUCAUGUGGAGAAGGAGCAGUGUCAGUUGGAGACCUCUGCCUUCAAAACAGAAAAAAGACAGCUGAGAACACAAGUUAGCAAAAGGAAAUGAAGGAACAGCAACUACCAGAUGAUUAAUGCUACCCAUACGAACC